This 460-nucleotide ribosomal RNA is filed under the name uncultured bacterium. RNAcentral describes it as "partial 16S ribosomal RNA". It matches the Rfam family "Bacterial small subunit ribosomal RNA", at positions 338 to 795 of the family's 1533-position model. The record is from RNAcentral.
UCUACGGGGGGCAGCAGUGAGGAAUAUUGGUCAAUGGGCUUACGCCUGAACCAGCCAAGUCGCGUGAGGGAAGACUGCCCUAUGGGUUGUAAACCUCUUUUGUCAGGGAGCAACGCCGGCUACGUGUAGCCUGCCUGAGAGUACCUGAAGAAAAAGCAUCGGCUAACUCCGUGCCAGCAGCCGCGGUAAUACGGAGGAUGCGAGCGUUAUCCGGAUUUAUUGGGUUUAAAGGGUGCGUGGGCGGAAUGCCAAGUCAGCGGUAAAAUCGCGGGGCUCAACCUCGCUCCGUCGUUGAACCCGGCGUUCGUGAGUGGGCGAGAAGUAUGCGGAAUGCGUGGUGUAGCGGUGAAAUGCAUAGAUAUCACGCAGAACUCCGAUUGCGAAGGCAGCAUACCGGCGCCCAACUGACGCUGAAGCACGAAAGCGUGGGUAUCGAACAGGAUUAGAUACCCGAGUAGUC